Molecule: long non-coding RNA, 675 nt
Organism: Oncorhynchus gorbuscha (pink salmon)
Lineage: Eukaryota; Metazoa; Chordata; Actinopteri; Salmoniformes; Salmonidae
Exons: 3
Source: RefSeq, a predicted model, not a curated record
CAUUGUAAAAAAACAUAUUUCUGUUCCGAGCUCACUGGCGCAGAAACUCUGGGGGCCAGGAAUAGUCUUGUUGAUGCAAUGUUGCAAGUUCGGUAGCAACAGCGUCUGGGCGGACCAAGUCAUGAUUUGAUACAAUAUUGCACUCACAAGCAAUAGCUCAAGUCAAGACGGAUAGAAAGAAAGGGAGGCAGACAGGCGCGGUGGAUAGAUGAAUCUACAUGAGCAACUUCCGGCCAGGUUGGAGCAGUGGCCCUGGUUUACAGAGCCCAGAGACAUGGCACCGGCCUGGGCACUCUGUACAGGAGCAUGGUGGGCAUGCACUGUAGCACUGUCAUCAUAACUCUGGACAGUGGCACAACCGAGGGGGAGGAGAAUGGGUCAGCCAAGAAAUUAAAAUACCCUUCAAAGUGGAAAGAAGAGGUUUGGAAUAGAAGGAGGAUGGAGGGUAAUCCUACCUUGGCAGUUAACUGUGGCAAUUGAUAUCUGCACUGUUUGAUUAUUUAUUACUUACAUGAUUCUUACUUGAAUACAUACCUUGGUGUUUAAUUCCAUGCUGAGUUGUCUGAUUUGCAUACUAAUAACAUGAUUGAUAUUGACGAUAUUUAUAUAUUAUUUUAUUUAUUUUUAUUUAUUUAUUUAUUGACUAUCCAUAACAUACAAUAUACUUGCCGUGAA